UGUUUGGUACAGUUGUACCAGAACGUGUGCGCGACGGCGGAGACUGCCACCCGGUGCGCUCGU
RNAcentral lists this non-coding RNA (63 nucleotides) under unclassified sequences. The record is from RNAcentral.